This 253-nucleotide ribosomal RNA is filed under the name uncultured bacterium. Its description in RNAcentral is "partial 16S ribosomal RNA". It matches the Rfam family "Bacterial small subunit ribosomal RNA", at positions 524 to 776 of the family's 1533-position model. The record is from RNAcentral.
GCCGGAGGAGGCAAUCGUUAUCCGGAAUUAUUGGGCGUAAAGGGUACGUAGGCGGCUGGUCAAGUCUGGGGUUAAAGGCCACAGCUCAACUGUGGGAAGGCCCUGGAAACUGACUGGCUAGAGUGAGGUAGGGGUUGCGGGAAUUCCCGGUGUAGCGGUGAAAUGCGUAGAGAUCGGGAAGAACACCUGAGGCGGAAGCGCGCAACUGGGCCUCAACUGACGCUGAGGUACGAAAGCUAGGGGAGCGAAUGGG